GAUGAACUCUGGCGGCGUGCCUAAUACAUGCAAGUCGAGCGAACAGACGAGGAGCUUGCUCCUCUGACGUUAGCGGCGGACGGGAGAGUAACACGUGGAUAACCUACCUAUAAGACUGGGAUAACUUCGGGAAACCGGAGCUAAUACCGGAUAAUAUAUUGAACCGCAUGGUUCAAUAGUGAAAGACGGUUUUGCUGUCACUUAUAGAUGGAUCCGCGCCGCAUUAGCUAGUUGGUAAGGUAACGGCUUACCAAGGCAACGAUGCGUAGCCGACCUGAGAGGGUGAUCGGCCACACUGGACCUGAGACACGGUCAGACUCCUACGGGAGGCAGCAGUAGGGAAUCUUCCGCAAUGGGCGAAAGCUUGACGGAGCAACGCCGCGUGAGUGAUGAAGGUCUUCGGAUCGUAAAACUCUGUUAUUAGGGAAGAACAAAUGUGUAAGUAACUAUGCACGUCUUGACGGUACCUAAUCAGAAAGCCACGGCUAACUACGUG
RNAcentral lists this ribosomal RNA (496 nucleotides) under uncultured bacterium. RNAcentral describes it as "partial 16S ribosomal RNA". It matches the Rfam family "Bacterial small subunit ribosomal RNA", at positions 28 to 507 of the family's 1533-position model. The record is from RNAcentral.